RNAcentral lists this ribosomal RNA (474 nucleotides) under uncultured bacterium. RNAcentral's name for it is "partial 16S ribosomal RNA". It matches the Rfam family "Bacterial small subunit ribosomal RNA", at positions 31 to 506 of the family's 1533-position model. The record is from RNAcentral.
GAACGCUGGCGGCGUGCCUAACACAUGCAAGUCGAACGGAGUCCAGCCUUUAAGACCUUCGGGUCAAAGAGGGGAAGACUGAGUGGCGGACGGGUGAGUAACACGUGGGCAACCUGGCUCAUAGAGGGGGAUAACAGAGAGAAAUUUCUGCUAAUACCGCAUAAGCACACACUGCCGCAUGGCAGAGGGUGAAAAGAGAAUCGCUAUGAGAUGGACCCGCGUCUGAUUAGCCAGUUGGCAGGGUAAGAGCCUACCAAAGCGACGAUCAGUAGCCGAUCUGAGAGGAUGAACGGCCACAUUGGGACUGAGACACGGCCCAAACUCCUACGGGAGGCAGCAGUGGGGGAUAUUGCACAAUGGGGGGAACCCUGAUGCAGCGACGCCGCGUGAGUGAAGAAGUAUUUCGGUAUGUAAAGCUCUAUCAGCAGGGAAGAUAAUGACAGUACCUGAAUAAGAAGCCCCGGCGAACUACGU